GCUGCUUAUUUUUCCCUGAAGGCGAAGGGUUGGAAAGUUACGCGCGCGGCAGCAGGGCCACGUGACUCCAGCCACCAUUUUAUGCCGAGGGGGAAGCUUUUGGGCGCCUAAAAUGGUAGCCCCCAACAGGCUCAGGUUACCUGUCUGAGAACCUAAAGUAUCCCACUGAGCUGUAUUUAACAGGUAAGGUAUGAAAUUAUUCAACAUAACUAUAUGAUGCUGACCUGGAAUUCAAGAAUCUGUCUCUGCUUGAUCUCUCAGGGCUUUGAGUGAAAGAUCGUAUCCAAGAAACAUGGCAGCACUCAUUGGGAAUCCUCGCACUGCAUUCACUGUCAGGCCCCUGAAAAAGACCUAAUCAGAAGAAGUAAGGAAACAUUACCCCAAAGGAGUCUAUGAAAUAAUUUGUGCAAUCACUUUGAUUGCAGAAUAAUGAAUGAUAUUCUGACAUUGGGAGAUCUCAGGUUUUAAAAAUCAGUAUUUUAUAAGGAACAUUAAUAAACUCAAUGAUUUUCUAGAAGUUA
This is a long non-coding RNA of Varanus komodoensis (Komodo dragon), 521 nucleotides long. RefSeq lists it as uncharacterized. NCBI's taxonomy places the organism in Eukaryota, Metazoa, Chordata, Lepidosauria, Squamata, Varanidae. The record is from RefSeq and is a predicted model, not a curated record. The transcript is spliced from 3 exons.